Molecule: long non-coding RNA, 2006 nt
Filed under: Triticum aestivum (bread wheat)
Lineage: Eukaryota; Viridiplantae; Streptophyta; Magnoliopsida; Poales; Poaceae
Description: long non-coding RNA (TAES_LNC015894)
Source: RNAcentral
AAUGAGAAAGUUUCACAUCGAUCUAACAACAUCUGAAUAAGCAGAGCAGACUGAAAUAAAUAAUACUUUGAUAGGCAGCAAAAGAAACUGUAAUAAAAGUAGUGUUUACUAAGUGCUGACCGAAGAUGAAAACAUUCAUAUAACCAGUCGUUCCACACACAGGUAAAUCUUUUGGAUGUAGAACGACUGGUUAUAUUAAUGUUUGCUGAGUGAAACUGAGCCAGAACGGAUGCUCCACCGCCCUAUAUUUUUUUCCUGGCUGUACGUAUCAUAAAAGUUCUCAAUCGUAUAUAUGACCCCUUUUUGGAACUCAUUUUCAUAGAUACACAUCCUAUGUGUGGGGAUCAUUCCUUCCAUUGUGUUGCCCUGAAAAGUUGUACAUAGACUGAAUCAUAUAAUCUGCUGCAAUGAGAUGUGAGAUUGUAGUUCGGUUAUGAAUUUUACCUUGUGAUCAACCAUAAGGAAAUUUGGACCAUGUAACACAAUAGAAUCCAUAUUAGAGUGUUCCCACAUUCUCAUGAUACGAACGGUGAGCUUCAUCUACUAUAAGUGUCUGGCUAUAUACAAUGAUCCCUCCGUGAGCAAGAUUUGGCACCUAUGUAUAAAAUAACUUCAGAUACAUAGUCAAUGCACAAUCUUUUAUAAUUUUGAUAAAAAAAUACAGUACUGCAAGUUUGGUAAACCCAAGAAGAUUUGAAAAUAUAGGGCUCGAAUUAUUACUAUAAAUGAGCUUAUAAAUCAGCAUAGUCAGCUCCUGGAUUGGCAAGGACCAUCAGGGAACAAAGAAAACCUUAGUCACAGUGGGAGGAGGAGAGGCGAGUACUUCUUGGGGUAGCCAGUGGCCCCGAUGUAGGAGGAGUCACCGCUUUGGAGCAUACGCGGACAUGAUGCACGCAAGCACAGAGUAGGCGCCAUGAUGGACCCAUGAAACCAUAUGCCUCCAAGGGCUUGGAAUGGCAACAUCUUGUUGCUGCAGAAUGACUUUGCGUUCAGCAGGAUCCAAGCAUGGCCCCUUGAUAUGAUUAUGCUUGUAAACAGGAAAAUCUUGGACAAAUGCUAGAUAGUCAAGCUGAAGUUACUCGUCUAAUGGAAUAUGUCAGUGUCCAUAGAGAAUUAAUUUCUGUCAUCUGAAAUGGGGCAAAACAUACUUCUUAAAUCCUGAAGAAUACUUUUCAAGUGUUGAUUCUGUAUGUAUUCUCAUAGCUUACUGAAGCUUCACUUUUUUUCUCUGAUGUCGUAACCCUAAUUCUUUUGUAAUAUGUUCAGGCAUUUACUGAAAAUCAAACUAUCUAUGAUUUAUAUUACUUGCCCAAAUAACUUGAUGCCCCUUAUGUGGCCUGAAUUGUCCAGUACCCUUGCUAAAUCUGUUUUGUAAGUUAUCUCACCCCAUGGUGCAUCAUCACAAAAUAUCUUCAAUAAAGAACAAUGCCUCGCAUUGAAAAAGUCACGCUACUAUUGCUCUUUACUACAAUACACAUUUUUGUUUACUGUUCCGAGUAUGAAAUGCACUAUUGAUGAAAUGUAUGCAGUGAGAUAUAUAGUAGAAGAUGGAUUUGCAUUUGGCCAUAUCUAUGACUAAACGAAAGCGAAACUGGGCUCAGCCUGAAUAAUUCUAUUACUUAUCGAAAGACAGUACAAAGUUCCAACAAAUACAAACUCCCUGGUGUUAGAGGGUUCCAAAAUAAUCCACCUAAAGGGGAACGGGCAGUUGUACAGAAUGAGAAGAGAGAAAAAACCUAUGAGCGCUCAGGGAGCUGCCAUACAUGUAAAAUUUAAGAGAAGACUGGUAAGUUCUCUAAAUGUUCAGUUCUUGACAAAAAAGGAUGAAACAACAUGUCAUUCAUAAUGCUUACCCUAAGCUGGACCGGAAAUAAUAAACAGAUCCACUAUAAAUAACAAAGCUCAUGGAGAUGGAUCUAGUAAAACAACAAAGAGGCAGCCAAUAAUAUGUGGGGCAUAAAAAACUAUGCGGCACAUGACAACCAGAGCAGCAAAGAAGAAACAUG